This is a non-coding RNA of Camelina sativa (false flax), 1262 nucleotides long. NCBI's taxonomy places the organism in Eukaryota, Viridiplantae, Streptophyta, Magnoliopsida, Brassicales, Brassicaceae. The record is from RefSeq and is a predicted model, not a curated record.
UAUUUGCUCCUCUCUCUCUCCGUCAAAACGAACAAACGAAACGACGAAAGCAAAAAUCGAUUUAUCAAAAUCGACGAGUACAAACCAAUCACAGUUCUGAUUGGUUUCCAAGACAAAUGGAUAUCUCCUCGUCGUCUUCUUCUUCUCCGAUUUCGCUUACUUCUUCUCUGUUAGGUAAGAAGCUUCUCUGUUAUGUGUUUGAAGAAUGAAGAUGAUUCGGAACCAAAAAGAUACAACGCAAAGAUGUGUUAUUGGAGGAGACAUCGAUUUGGUCAGAGCUGAUUCGAUCCAAGGUCCAGUCUUUGUUUGAUGAUGCUAAAUCUCAAUGUUGCUUGCGGAAGUGCAUCUUCUUAUGUUGAUAGUUGAUAUCUUGAUUAUUUUGUUUUUAAUAUGGUCACAUAAUUGUUGAGACUAGAUUGUAAUAGCUUUCUAAGUAGAUGCAGAAACUACUUUCUUCUUCAACUCGAGCUUAACAUGAAACGAAGUUGCGGGUUUAGUAUGGUAGUAUGGAAGUUGUUUGAUUUCCGAUUUAAUUUGCCUCGGAUACUUUGAGCGGUCAAGCUUUCGGAGCUAAGCUAUAUCGGAAACUAGGUGUUCAGACUUACACAGCCAUGUUUUGUCUUGCUUUGGUGUGUAUCCCUCUUUCUCUCGUUUGGCUCAACAUGGAAAAGCUUCUUGUGUUCCUGGGACAAGACCCUGCUGCCUGGCUUAUCCCUAGACUCUUUGCUUACUCUGUUCUACAGCCUCUCACUCGCUUCUUUCAAAACCAGAGUUUGAUCUCACCUCUCUGCAUCACUCUGCAGUUAAACUUGUUAUGUUCCUUGGUCUUUCCUAUAAACAGUUUGUAAUACCAAAUUCGAUGAUGGUUGUUGCUACAGGGUGAGGGCAGCGAAUGGGUAAAUGUUGAUAUUUCAAACCCAGAGCCUUCUUCAGACGAUUGAGUUGGAGUCUUCUCACCAUCAAAAUUCGACUCAUCUUCUUGUGCUCGAGCUGAUGGCAAAGAGUACACAACCGUUCAAUCUCCUAUUCCAUUUUGCAAAUACUAAAUGAGACACCCAAGGAUGACUAAUGGGAGGACAAAAAUAAAAAACAGGGGUGUGAAGAAAUUUGUAUUAUUUUUAGUAUUAUUGAAAAAUAAAGACACCCAAAUGAGGAUGUGCAAUGUGUUUGCUCUUAUGGGCCUAGAGGUCGCCUAUUAAACCGAAGUGACAAUAACGUCUCACACGUGUCUAAUAAGAACGACACGCGCGUCUUAUCUUAUA